RNAcentral lists this ribosomal RNA (162 nucleotides) under Cyanothamnus occidentalis. Its description in RNAcentral is "5.8S ribosomal RNA". It matches the Rfam family "5.8S ribosomal RNA". From Rfam's summary of the family: 5.8S ribosomal RNA (5.8S rRNA) is a component of the large subunit of the eukaryotic ribosome. The record is from RNAcentral. Lineage: Eukaryota; Viridiplantae; Streptophyta; Magnoliopsida; Sapindales; Rutaceae.
AAACGACUCUCGGCAACGGAUAUCUCGGCUCUCGCAUCGAUGAAGAACGUAGCGAAAUGCGAUACUUGGUGUGAAUUGCAGAAUCCCGUGAACCAUCGAGUCUUUGAACGCAAGUUGCGCCCCAAGCUGUUAGGCUGAGGGCACGUCUGCCUGGGUGUCACG